Molecule: long non-coding RNA, 1525 nt
Filed under: Nicotiana tabacum (common tobacco)
Lineage: Eukaryota; Viridiplantae; Streptophyta; Magnoliopsida; Solanales; Solanaceae
Description: long non-coding RNA (NTAB_LNC003311)
Source: RNAcentral
UGUAACUAGAAUAAACCUUCUACUGCAUUAUCUUAAUAGUCCUAAAUUAAGUACAAUGAUGAAAACUCCACUAUCCAAACUAGAAAUUAACUAAAAGAUACAGUGAAUCUGGCUAUUAAAACACCAUAUAAUGAAGAAAUACAACUGAAUUCAUAAACAAAUUUGAGGCCAUGCUUCAAACUCUAUUUUUUCAUUUCUCAUACUUCAAGUCUAACUUCACAUUCAGUGGGGUCCAAGAAUAUGUACCUUAAUACAGCAAAAUAACAAAGGAAAUAAGCUUGGAGCCUAAGAGAGAAUAGCAGCAGUAGUUCAGCUAAGAGGAAGCAACAGCAGCAAAGUAUCAGCAACUAAAACAACCACACAAUCAGCAAUUACUCAGCCUUUGACCCAGCUUCAAACCCAGAAUCAAUACCACUUUCAGAGCUUUUGAAAAAUCUGACUAACAGGGAACUUAGGAACCAAACAAUUCCAGGCAAAUUUCAGUAUUUUAGAGUCUAGAAAAAGCUCAGUUGUUCCUAAAGUUUUUCAGUAUUUUUCAGUCUCUAAAAUCUCUAAAAUAUGACUUGUGAAUGAAGCAAUUAGCGUUUUAUAAGGGAGUUUUAGGGCAGCAGAAAUGUGUUUUAGUUUUGCCCUUUAAUCCUUUUUAAAUUUUCAGUUUUGCUCCUAUGUCCUUAGUCUUAAAAUCUGUUUUGAAAAACAGCCCCAAACCCACCUUCCUAGAAGCUUCCCCAGUCAGUUAUACAAUAUUCCCUCGGCCAAUUUCCCUAAACUACCCUUUAGACUUCUUUUAUUUACCUUCAGAAGAUCACAUGUCAAAUUACCCCAAGACCCAUCCCAAACUCAUGGGUCUGUAUACUAACAACCCAAACUUACAAUAUCAAAAUGAAUAAGGAAGAAAGAAAUCUGAUUCAUCAAGCCUUUAAUAAAAUUAAUCGACUAAACCUAAAUAAUUUCGGCUAAAACAAAACUCAAACAGAAACAAUCACAAUAAGAUAUUAAUCCAUAUCCUGCAAUUGAACAGUUACAACUACUGAUUUAAUCAAACUAAAAUUAAUUCAAGCACACAAAAAUACAAGAAUUAGAGAAAGAGAAAAAAACAAGAAACGGACACGAAGAACGGAAGAGAAGAAGGAAUGGUACUGGUCUUAGCCAGAAUAAAUUGACUAAGGUGACGAGCUUGGCCGAGCAUUCGUGGUCUAGUCAAGAGCUGGUGACUCUCGAAAUGAGCCAAAAUUAUCUUUAAUCGAUUAUUCUUAACGAGAACAAUUGCUUAACAGAGGUCCUGAGUCAGAUCGAGUCUUGGGAGCAUAGGAAUCAGAAAAUUAUUUUUCUUUUAAUUUUCAUAUUCAAAAUUGAGGAGAAAAGGUGGGGCUUUCAGGGAAAUUGACUAUGGCUUAAUGUUUGAGGGAGUAUAGGGAGUGGAUGGUGAAAUUUUGGUGUGAUUUGGAGCUUCAACACCACCGGUGGCGAAAUCCGGCGGGUGGCAGGUGGUGGUGAGAGAUGAGAGGUCUGAGAGAUGAAGAAG